AUUGAACGCUGGCGGAAUGCUUUACACAUGCAAGUCGAGCGGCAGCGCGGGGCAACCUGGCGGCGAGCGGCGAACGGGUGAGUAAUGCAUCGGAACGUACCCCGUCGUGGGGGAUAACUACCCGAAAGGGUAGCUAAUACCGCAUACGACCUGAGGGUGAAAGCGGGGGACCGAAAGGCCUCGCGCGAUGGGAGCGGCCGAUGCCGGAUUAGCUAGUUGGUAGGGUAAAGGCCUACCAAGGCGACGAUCCGUAGCUGGUCUGAGAGGACGACCAGCCACACUGGAACUGAGACACGGUCCAGACUCCUACGGGAGGCAGCAGUGGGGAAUUUUGGACAAUGGGCGAAAGCCUGAUCCAGCCAUUCCGCGUGAGUGAAGAAGGCCUCGGUGUAAG
RNAcentral lists this ribosomal RNA (394 nucleotides) under uncultured bacterium. Its description in RNAcentral is "bacterial SSU rRNA". It matches the Rfam family "Bacterial small subunit ribosomal RNA", at positions 29 to 429 of the family's 1533-position model. The record is from RNAcentral.